GAAAUGCGAUAAGUAAUGUGAAUUGCAGAAUUCAGUGAAUCAUAGAAUCUUUGAACGCACCUUGCGCUCCUUGGUAUUCCGAGGAGCAUGCCUGUUUGAGUGUCAUGGAAUUCUCAACUCUAUUUGCUUUUGUGAAUAGAGCUUGGAUUUGGAGGUUUAUUGCUGGUACUUGUGAUCGGCUCCUCUUGAAUGCAUUAGCUCGAACCUUUGCGGAUCAGCUAUCGGUGUGAUAAUUGUCUACGCCGUUGCAGUGAAGCAUAUCAAUGGGCUCGGCUUCCAAUCGUCCUUUACUGGACAAUGACUUUGACCUUUGACCUCAAAUCAGGUAGGAUUACCCGCUGAACUUAAGC
Molecule: unclassified non-coding RNA, 350 nt
Filed under: plant metagenome
Description: partial contains 5.8S ribosomal RNA, internal transcribed spacer 2, and large subunit ribosomal RNA
Rfam family: 5.8S ribosomal RNA (bases 1-105)
Source: RNAcentral